RNAcentral lists this unclassified non-coding RNA (388 nucleotides) under Hevea brasiliensis (rubber tree). The record is from RNAcentral. Lineage: Eukaryota; Viridiplantae; Streptophyta; Magnoliopsida; Malpighiales; Euphorbiaceae.
GAAAACGAAAGGCGUUUUCUGGUCAUCCAUGAAUGAUCAUCAUUUGUGAAUUUUUAUUUGUUAGAAUCCUAACAACUUGGAGUGGAUACUCCACAAGUUUUAGCAACUUUUUUGGCAUUAGGAGAGUUGACAUAUUGCUUAAGGCUUGGAUUCUUAAGAUAUCCACAAAGACAAGGCUUUUGCUCUUUCAACUUAUUGCAACAUUCCUUAGAGGGUGGUUGUGAUGACAGGAUCGCCGCGGCACAUGGAACUAGCUCUGUAACACUGCAUGUCACGGCCUCCGUGACAAGCAAUUCACUAAGAAAAAGGACUAACAAUAUUGCAAUAAAACUACUUCCCUUCUUCAUAUUCAAAGAUUUUGGAGAAAUUUGAGUAAUAGUAAAGGUCG